RNAcentral lists this unclassified non-coding RNA (398 nucleotides) under uncultured fungus. RNAcentral's name for it is "sequence contains ITS1". The stretch from base 1 to 105 matches the Rfam family "5.8S ribosomal RNA", at positions 50 to 154 of the family's 154-position model. The record is from RNAcentral. Lineage: Eukaryota; Fungi.
GAAAUGCGAUACGUAAUGUGAAUUGCAGAAUUCAGUGAAUCAUCGAAUCUUUGAACGCAUAUUGCGCUCUUUGGUAUUCCGAAGAGCAUGCUUGUUUGAGUAUCAGUAAACACCUCAAAGCUUUUGGAUUUUUUUUGAAAGCUUUGGACUUGAGCAAUCCCAACACCAAUCUUUUUCAGAUCGGCGGCGGGUUACUUGAAAUGCAGGUGCAGCUGGACUUUUCUCUGAGCUAUAAGCAUAUCUAUUUAGUCUGCCUAAAAAACAGAUUAUUACCUUUGCUGCAGCUAACAUAAAGGAGAUUAGUUCUUGUGCUGACUGAUGCAGGAUUCACAAAGACAGGCUUCGGCCGACUUUGUAAACUCGAUCUCAAAUCAAGUAAGACUACCCGCUGAACUUAA